Tripterygium wilfordii is the source of this 451-nucleotide long non-coding RNA. RefSeq lists it as uncharacterized. The transcript is spliced from 3 exons. Lineage: Eukaryota; Viridiplantae; Streptophyta; Magnoliopsida; Celastrales; Celastraceae. The record is from RefSeq and is a predicted model, not a curated record.
CGCAGCCACCCAAGGAAUACUAAACUAACCUCAACCUCAAGCGCCGAAGGACAUCACCCAGAGUCGACGGUACGGGGUAUAGGAAUUGGACGAAUUGGUGACUCAGAGAUCAAAGGGAAUCGUGAAAUACAAUUACAUGGUGGAUUGAGACGGAGAUCGGGACAGUUUAUUUUAUAAUACUCGUGACUGCGUCUGGAAGAAAUUAGGGAAUCGAGGAGACGCGUUAGACGUUUAACAUUGAUUGCACUGCUAUCGAGGUGAGUACGUAGAUGGUGGCCAGCUUCUCGAGGCGUGAGCGGUGUCCCCAUGGAUACAGUUGUGGUUUAUGGGUAGCAUAGGGUUUGAUUAUUAAAGACUUCCGCUUUGUUAAAUUUUAAAGACUUAUUAAUUAUCUCUCAAUGGAUUUCUAAAUGCAUUUUAUUCAUUUUUUUUGGGAUUAUAUUAAAUGAUU